CCCGGGGGUCCCGGCGGCUCGGGGCCGGUUUUCCCCGUUUUCCCCGUUUUCCCCAUGCCCGGGGGCAGCAGCUGGGUGCCGGGGGUGCGUUGCCCAACCGUGUUUUUCGGGGAAACCUGGGCGAGCAGGGGGGCACGACAGAGGCUGGAGAGGUGGUGUGCGGCUCUGAAGUGAGCGCCCUUGCCUUUAAUCUUUAAUCUUUAGGGCUUUUGUCAAGCGCCAAAAUGUAGCUCACGGUAAAAUUCAGUCCAGAAUCAGAAGGUCUACGACUGACGUGUCACUUCGGCCCCUUCUCAGCACAGCCACUGUAGUCCCCAUGUGAGGGGCAGCAAGCACACGGCCUGAUGUUCCUCCUUCGUUCCUCCUCUGCCUCCCAGGGUUUGGGGAUUUGGGCCACCAACCGAUGAUAACCCAGAAAACAUGACACAAUGCUUGAUUGAUGUGGGCUACAAGAGCUUUUGCUUGGAUAAGUGAAUCUUGGAACUCCCUGAGUCUCACGGGGAUGUCUGAAGAAUGUUCAUGUGCAAAUCAUUCACUUCAUUGCGCUGGCCUCACACAAGUGAAGAUCUCAUUAUUGAAAUGAGAGCUCUGUACAAAUAUUGGGCUAACAAAUUUAUACAGUUAUCUCACAAAGAUAAAUAGCUAAUGCAAUCUCAUGGUCUUUGGCCAAAAUGUUUCUAAUGUGGAAGGCUGAAGGUAUUACCAGGAGAAUAAUCUCACCAACACUUCAAUGUGACAAUUUAGAAUGUGGGUGCUUAUUUUCCAGUACAUGUAAUACAUUCUUCCAUUGAUACAAGCCUUCGCUCGUUAAAAAGUGAAGGGAUUAGAUUAUAUCUGUUGAGGAGAGACUAUGAGACACGUAAUUAAAGUUCAUGGGGAUUCUUUUACAAAAUACCAACAUUACAAUGUUUGUACAUAUGUGAAGAAACUUGGAAAUGUGAGGUAAAAAGCCUCAUGGUCACACUCAGCGAAGGUUGCCAAAGAUUAACGGGACCUUUGAGUAGAAGGUUUGCUAUAUGCUUUUUCCUAUUUCUUUCUUUUAAUUGUUGUUUUGGUGGGUGGGUGUGACUACUAUUGCUAAUUCUUACUGGUUUACACUAAUAAAUCAUUUUUCUAUAUAAAUGGAAUUUUAAAAUAAAAUUGCGUUUUGAGUAUCUUGCAA
Molecule: long non-coding RNA, 1162 nt
Organism: Cygnus olor (mute swan)
Lineage: Eukaryota; Metazoa; Chordata; Aves; Anseriformes; Anatidae
Exons: 2
Source: RefSeq, a predicted model, not a curated record